UGAUGGGACACUCACCACGAGAGAAGGU
Molecule: small RNA, 28 nt
Filed under: Bombyx mori (domestic silkworm)
Lineage: Eukaryota; Metazoa; Arthropoda; Insecta; Lepidoptera; Bombycidae
Description: ovarian small RNA-8370
Source: RNAcentral